UGCGUAGGCGGCUAGGCAAGUCAGACGUGAAAACCAUGGGCUCAACCUAUGGACUGCGUUUGAAACUGUUUAGCUUGAGUGAAGUAGAGGUAGGCGGAAUUCCCGGUGUAGCGGUGAAAUGCGUAGAGAUCGGGAGGAACACCAGUGGCGAAGGCGGCCUACUGGGCUUUAACUGACGCUGAGGCACGAAAGCAUGGGUAAGCAAACA
This 208-nucleotide ribosomal RNA is filed under the name uncultured bacterium. Its description in RNAcentral is "partial 16S ribosomal RNA". It matches the Rfam family "Bacterial small subunit ribosomal RNA", at positions 568 to 774 of the family's 1533-position model. The record is from RNAcentral.